CCUAGUGAUCAGAAGCGAGAAUGUUGACAUGAGUAGCGACAAACAGGGUGAGAGACCCUGUCGCCGAAAGUCCAAGGGUUCCUGCUUAAAGCUAAUCUGAGCAGGGUAAGCCGACCCCUAAGGCGAGGCCGAAAGGCGUAGUCGAUGGGAACCAGGUUAAUAUUCCUGGGCCAGGAGGAUGUGACGGAUCUGAACAGUUGUCUGCCCUUAUCGGAUUGGGUGGGCAGCCUACAGGUUCCCGGAAAUAGCCCUCCAUUAGAUCGUACCCUAAACCGACACAGGUGGACUGGUAGAGAAUACCAAGGCGCUUGAGAGAACCACAUUUAAGGAACUCGGCAAAAUGCUCCCGUAAGUUCGCGAGAAGGGAGCCCCGUCUGUAGGCAACUAUGGGCGGGGGGCACAAACCAGGGGGUGGCGACUGUUUACUUAAAACACAGGGCUGUGCGAAGCCGUAAGGCGACGUAUACAGUCUGACGCCUGCCCGGUGCUGGAAGGUUAAAAGGAGGGGUGCAAGCUCCGAAUUGAAGCCCCAGUAAACGGCGGCCGUAACAAUAACGGUCCUAAGGUAGCGAAAUUCCUUGUCGGGUAAGUUCCGACCUGCACGAAUGGCGUAACGAUCUCCCCGCUGUCUCAAAUGUGGACUCAGCGAAAUUGAACUGUGUGUCAAGAUGCACACUACCCGCGGUUAGACGGAAAGACCCCAUGCACCUUUACUAUAGCUUCGCACUGGCAUCAGGAUUGUGAUGUGCAGGAUAGGUGGUAGGCUUUGAAGCGGGAACGCCAGUUUCCGUGGAGCCUCCCUUGAGAUACCACCCUUCGCACUCUUGAUGUCUAACCGCGGUCCGUCAUCCGGAUCCGGGACCCUGCGUGGUGGGUAGUUUGACUGGGGCGGUCGCCUCCCAAAGAGUAACGGAGGCGCGCGAAGGUUGGCUCAGAGCGGUCGGAAAUCGCUCGUUGAGUGCAAUGGCAGAAGCCAGCCUGACUGCGAGACUGACAAGUCGAGCAGAGUCGAAAGACGGCCAUAGUGAUCCGGUGGUCCCAAGUGGGAGGGCCAUCGCUCAACGGAUAAAAGGUACGCUGGGGAUAACAGGCUGAUGAUGCCCAAGAGUCCAUAUCGACGGCAUCGUUUGGCAUCUCGAUGUCGGCUCGUCUCAUCCUGGGGCUGGAGCAGGUCCCAAGGGUAUGGCUGUUCGCCAUUUAAAGAGGUACGUGAGCUGGGUUUAGAACGUCGUGAGACAGUUCGGUCCCUAUCUGCCGUGGGUGUAGGAUACUUGAGAGGAGUUGCCCCUAGUACGAGAGGACCGGGGUGAACGUUCCACUGGUGGACCAGUUGUCGUGCCAACGGCAGUGCUGGGUAGCUAUGAACGGACAGGAUAACCGCUGAAGGCAUCUAAGCGGGAAGCCCCCCUCAAAACAAGGUAUCCCUUGAGAGCCGUGGAAGACGACCACGUCGAUAGGCCGGAGAUGUAAGCGCUGCGAGGCGUUCAGUUGACCGGUACUAAUUGCUC
RNAcentral lists this ribosomal RNA (1508 nucleotides) under metagenome. RNAcentral describes it as "bacterial LSU rRNA". It matches the Rfam family "Bacterial large subunit ribosomal RNA", at positions 1274 to 2910 of the family's 2925-position model. The record is from RNAcentral.